RNAcentral lists this non-coding RNA (45 nucleotides) under Schistosoma mattheei. The record is from RNAcentral. Lineage: Eukaryota; Metazoa; Platyhelminthes; Trematoda; Strigeidida; Schistosomatidae.
AUCCAGCCGGCGAGUUCAAAAUAGGACGAAGCAUGCGUCCUGGAU